UAUCGCCUGCCCAGUGACUAUUAGUUUAACGGCCGCGGUAUUCUGACCGUGCAAAGGUAGCGUAAUCACUUGUCUUUUAAAUAAAGACUAGUAUGAAUGGCAUCACGAGGAUUAAUCUGUCUCCCUCCCCUAAUCAGUGAAACUGAUCUCCCCGUGCAGAAGCGAGGAUAAUAUCAUAAGACGAGAAGACCCUGUGGAGCUUAAAAUCAAAAAUCAGCUGCUUAACUUCACCCACUCAAGGGAAACACCUUUGCAAACCUGGAAUAGAUUUUUAGCUGGGGCGGCUAUGGAGAAAAAAACAUCCUCCAUGAAUAACUAUGCUGAGGGCUACCGCCCUAGGCAUUAAUAAUUUAAUUUAAAUUGACCCUUUUUGAUCAACGGACCAAGUUACCCCAGGGAUAACAGCGCAAUCCACUUUUAGAGUCCAUAUCGACAAGUGGGCUUACGACCUCGAUGUUGGAUCAGGGCACCCAAGUGGUGCAGCCGCUACUAAAGGUUCGUUUGUUCAACGAUUAAAGCCCUACGUGAUCUGAGUUCAAGAACCGGA
RNAcentral lists this ribosomal RNA (547 nucleotides) under Leptobrachella sp. IEBR 4512. Its description in RNAcentral is "partial large subunit ribosomal RNA". It matches the Rfam family "Bacterial large subunit ribosomal RNA", at positions 1853 to 2622 of the family's 2925-position model. The record is from RNAcentral. Lineage: Eukaryota; Metazoa; Chordata; Amphibia; Anura; Megophryidae.